This 1177-nucleotide ribosomal RNA is filed under the name Stenotritus sp. BND-2004. RNAcentral describes it as "eukaryotic LSU rRNA". It matches the Rfam family "Eukaryotic large subunit ribosomal RNA", at positions 401 to 1266 of the family's 3401-position model. The record is from RNAcentral. Lineage: Eukaryota; Metazoa; Arthropoda; Insecta; Hymenoptera; Stenotritidae.
GAAACCGUUCAGGGGUAAACCUGAGAAACCCAAAAGAUCGAAUGGGGAGAUUCAUCGUCAACGAAGCUGGCUCCCGUUGGUGCGCGAUACCCCGAUUGGGCCCUCGUGGUUCCAAGGCGAGAGGGUACACCACCUUCGGCGAACGUUCCGGCGACGUAGUCGUGCACUUCUCCCUUAGUAGAACGUCGCGACCCGUUGUGUGUCGGUCUACGGCCCGAGCUUGUUGCCUGUCGCGUCGCCCUCGCGCGCACGCGUCAGACGUUCGGUCGCCCGGCCGGCUGCACGACGGUACCCCGACGGUAUCGGGCCGCAACCAAUCCAUUUUCUCGAAUGUGUGUGCGUCGGGCCCGCCGCAAGCUCGGACAGUUUUACCCGGAGGGUACGGACCUAGUGCCGGCCCCGGGCCUGUCCAGCUGUUGGCAGGCGGUGCCCUUGGACUGGCCAAGCUUUGAAUUACCGGUCGGCGACGCUACUGCUUUGGGUACUCUCAGGACCCGUCUUGAAACACGGACCAAGGAGUCUAACAUGUGCGCGAGUCAUUGGGAUUUUGUAAACCUAAAGGCGGAAUGAAAGUGAAGGUUCGUCUUCUUUUAGAAGGUCGACCGAGGGAGGAUGGGCCGCGUUACGAUACGGCCCCGCACUCCCGGGGCGUCUCGUUCUCAUUGCGAGAAGAGGCGCACCUAGAGCGUACACGUUGGGACCCGAAAGAUGGUGAACUAUGCCUGGUCAGGACGAAGUCAGGGGAAACCCUGAUGGAGGUCCGUAGCGAUUCUGACGUGCAAAUCGAUCGUCGGAACUGGGUAUAGGGGCGAAAGACUAAUCGAACCAUCUAGUAGCUGGUUCCCUCCGAAGUUUCCCUCAGGAUAGCUGGCACUCGAUCGUUCCUCCGUGAACGCGUGCGAGUCUCAUCUGGUAAAGCGAAUGAUUAGAGGCCUUGGGGCCGAAACGACCUCAACCUAUUCUCAAACUUUAAAUGGGUGAGAUCUCUGGCUUGCUUGGAUCAUGAAGCCACGAGAUUUUUUGGAUCAGAGUGCCAAGUGGGCCAAUUUUGGUAAGCAGAACUGGCGCUGUGGGAUGAACCAAACGCAGAGUUAAGGCGCCUAAGUCGACGCUUAUGGGAUACCAUGAAAGGCGUUGGUUGCUUAAGACAGCAGGACGGUGGCCAUGGAAGUCGGAA